Molecule: small RNA, 29 nt
Filed under: Bombyx mori (domestic silkworm)
Lineage: Eukaryota; Metazoa; Arthropoda; Insecta; Lepidoptera; Bombycidae
Description: ovarian small RNA-4748
Source: RNAcentral
CCAAGAAGAAUGUCUAUAGAAGACGGAGU